CUUCGUGCUGUUGUUGCAGUUGAUAUUUAAAGAUUCUCUUUUUUUUCUGACUUCAAGUGUGACCUUCCCAUUAUAAGGAAAUGGUGGACACUACUUCUUUUGGAGAACUUUGGAGUUAUUUCUGAAAGUGUUGUACUGCACCCAGAGUCGCUGAGCUCAGUGUGAGCUGCGUGGCAAAACUAGGCUCAACGGCGAAACUAUCUGCUCACUGCCACGUCUGGUACAUGUCACCUUGCGACUCACACUUGCAGUGGGAACAUUGUAAUCUGUUAAUAGGAGUAACAAAACGAAAACGCGACGCUCACACCAUGGCCACACCCCGCUCACGGAGGAUGUGUGAAUCCUGCAAGCGAUUGCUGUCCUGAAACUGCUGUGACAUCUGUGACAGAGCUCUGCAGAUGGAUAUUAUUGGCUCCAGAUAGAUAUAUCUCACUCUUUUUGGUGCUUUCGCUUCAGGUUUGUUCAUGAGCUGUGAGAUGAAGAUACAUUUGUGCCUUAAAGAUUUGCAUGUGAAGAGUAAGAUUUUUAAAAGUGUAAACAAAAUUCAUGUGUUGUGAAUCUGAAACUUCAUAUUAACACAAAAUAAACGUGAUCUGUAUCA
Long non-coding RNA from Myxocyprinus asiaticus (Chinese sucker), 601 nucleotides. RefSeq lists it as uncharacterized. The record is from RefSeq and is a predicted model, not a curated record. The transcript has 2 exons. NCBI's taxonomy places the organism in Eukaryota, Metazoa, Chordata, Actinopteri, Cypriniformes, Catostomidae.